Molecule: non-coding RNA, 220 nt
Organism: Pelobates cultripes (western spadefoot toad)
Lineage: Eukaryota; Metazoa; Chordata; Amphibia; Anura; Pelobatidae
Source: the annotation of a GenBank genome assembly
AUCUGAACGUGCACAAUUGUCUCUGUCCUUAAUGGUUAACAUAAGUUUAGGUGAAAUUCAAUGUUUACUAAAUAGUGUAUUUUCCAGUUGAGUAAAAGUUCCCCGUUAUGUAAACAUGUCAAGCACCAUAACCAAUACAGCUUACAGGUCUAAAAUUUCUCUUUUGAGAUUCUGAACUUUUUUAAAUAUAGGCACCAUAUCUCCUUUUCUCCAGUCCUCU